AUACGUAGGGGGCGAGCGUUGUCCGGAAUGAUUGGGCGUAAAGGGCGCGAAGGCGGCCCGGUAAGUCUGGAGUGAAAGUCCUGCUUUUAAGGUGGGAAUUGCUUUGGAUACUGUCGGGCUUGAGUGCAGGAGAGGUAAGUGGAAUUCCCAGUGUCGCGGUGAAAUGCGUAGAGAUUGGGAGGAACACCAGUGGCGAAGGCGACUUACUGGACUGUAACUGACGCUGAGGCGCGAAAGUGUGGGGAGCAAACAGGAUUAGAUACCCUGGUAGUCCACACUGUAAACGAUGAAUGCUAGGUGUAGGGGGUAUCGACCCCUUCUGUGCCGCAGUUAACACAAUAAGCAUUCCGCCUGGGGAGUACGGCCGCAAGGUUGAAACUCAAAGGAAUUGACGGGG
RNAcentral lists this ribosomal RNA (397 nucleotides) under uncultured bacterium. Its description in RNAcentral is "partial 16S ribosomal RNA". It matches the Rfam family "Bacterial small subunit ribosomal RNA", at positions 523 to 918 of the family's 1533-position model. The record is from RNAcentral.